AUUUGCAUCUUCACUGCAAAGACAAGCAUAACGAUCUGGGUAUUGUCGAACUAAAGAAUACAGAGAUUUAUAUUGUAUCCACAAUCUCUGCUCGUGGGAGAUAUUAGAGAACGGACCAUGUAAGAUUAAAAAAUCUGGAAAGCGUGAAUGCUUUGCAUGGUAAAGCUUCUGAAAAAUAAAAUAAAAUAAUACCUUCUCUUUC
Molecule: long non-coding RNA, 202 nt
Organism: Vigna angularis (adzuki bean)
Lineage: Eukaryota; Viridiplantae; Streptophyta; Magnoliopsida; Fabales; Fabaceae
Exons: 2
Source: RefSeq, a predicted model, not a curated record